CCUCACAUAACAUCACUAUAUUAUUUCCUCACAUAUAAUAUAGUGAUAUUAUGUGAGGUAGUAAUAUAGUGAUGUUAUGUGAGG
This is a non-coding RNA of Pelobates cultripes (western spadefoot toad), 84 nucleotides long. Lineage: Eukaryota; Metazoa; Chordata; Amphibia; Anura; Pelobatidae. The record is from the annotation of a GenBank genome assembly.